RNAcentral lists this ribosomal RNA (391 nucleotides) under uncultured bacterium. Its description in RNAcentral is "bacterial SSU rRNA". It matches the Rfam family "Bacterial small subunit ribosomal RNA", at positions 32 to 433 of the family's 1533-position model. The record is from RNAcentral.
AAUCAACGCUGGCGGCGCGCUUAACACAUGCAAGUCGAGCGAGAAAGUGGAGCAAUCCAUGAGUACAGCGGCGUACGGGUGAGUAACACGUGGGUCAUCUACCUUUUAGUGGGAAUAACCCUGGGAAACCGGGGCUAAUACCGCAUAAUCCUGUGAAGGGAAAGCAGCAAUGCGCUGAAAGAGGAGCCCGCGGCCGAUUAGCUAGUUGGUGAGGUAACGGCUCACCAAGGCGACGAUCGGUAGCCGGCCUGAGAGGGCACACGGCCACACUGGCACUGAAACACGGGCCAGACUCCUACGGGAGGCAGCAGUGGGGAAUCUUGCACAAUGGAGGCAACUCUGAUGCAGCGACGCCGCGUGAGCGAUGAAGCCCCUCGGGGGUGUAAAGCUC